CAGGUAGAGGCGCGACCUUUAUCAGUACGUUGUUACAAUGCACGGUAGCAGUGACAGCGGAAAGGAAAUGUCGCCGAAGUUUCUUUGCCAUACCGUAGGCAAGGUUGCUGGGUCAACGCAGAAUAUGUGUUGGACUGUCACGUUUAGUGGAGAGCUAUCGC
RNAcentral lists this non-coding RNA (161 nucleotides) under chicken gut metagenome. Its description in RNAcentral is "Lysine riboswitch". It matches the Rfam family "Lysine riboswitch aptamer". From Rfam's summary of the family: Riboswitches are metabolite binding domains within certain messenger RNAs that serve as precision sensors for their corresponding targets. Allosteric rearrangement of mRNA structure is mediated by ligand binding, and this results in modulation of gene expression. The record is from RNAcentral.